Molecule: long non-coding RNA, 525 nt
Filed under: Callithrix jacchus (white-tufted-ear marmoset)
Lineage: Eukaryota; Metazoa; Chordata; Mammalia; Primates; Cebidae
Description: lncRNA (ENSCJAG00000079337.1)
Source: RNAcentral
CAUUUAUUCUGAGAGUUUAUAAAGUAGUUAUCAUAGAUAAGUGUAUGCACACAUAAAUAAAAGAGAGAAUUAGAACAUCAUCAGAUUCUCUUCCUAUACUAGUCAUUAUAUUAACCCAACACUAAUCAUUUUCUAAUUUCAGAACCAGAAGAAAAAUUUUAUGCUGAAUUUAAAUACCAUGUUUUUUUUCUCUUGCAGUGAAAGAUUUUUAUUGGCACGUAUGAGAACACAUGCAUGCCUUCUGUAAUGAGUGAAUGCAGGUGGAUUCAUUAAAGCACCUUUUCUCAAAAUUGAACACGGUUUUAACAAUUCACAAAAUUACUAUUACUGGAUUUAUGGUUUCACUCCUCUCAGGUAAAUAUUGCUUUCAAGAAUGUGGAUUCUUUUAAUAAAUGACUAUAUCUUUAAAAUAAGAAAAUUAUACCUUUAUUUAAAAGGAAAAUGUUUGGAAAAGAAAUAAGCGGUAAGUGUUGAAUAAUAUUGAAUUUUGAAAAAUCAACAUGAAAUUGUAUAGAUUUGACUGUU